This 371-nucleotide ribosomal RNA is filed under the name unidentified archaeon. RNAcentral's name for it is "bacterial SSU rRNA". It matches the Rfam family "Archaeal small subunit ribosomal RNA", at positions 90 to 463 of the family's 1478-position model. The record is from RNAcentral.
UCAGUAACACGUAGUCAACAUGCCCAAAGGACGUGGAUAACCUCGGGAAACUGAGGAUAAACCGCGAUAGGCCAAGGUUUCUGGAAUGAGCCAUGGCUGAAAUCUAUAUGGCCUUUGGAUUGGACUGCGGCCGAUCAGGCUGUUGGUGAGGUAAUGGCCCACCAAACCUGUAACCGGUACGGGCUUUGAGAGAAGGAGCCCGGAGAUGGGCACUGAGACAAGGGCCCAGGCCCUAUGGGGCGCAGCAGGCGCGAAACCUCUGCAAUAGGCGAAAGCUUGACAGGGUUACUCUGAGUGAUGCCCGCUAAGGGUAUCUUUUGGCACCUCUAAAAAUGGUGCAGAAUAAGGGGUGGGCAAGUCUGGUGCCAGCC